CUGCCUCCAGAGCAUUUCUCCUCUCCCUCUCGCCCUUCUCAGGAUGCCCAGGCUGUUCUGGCAGGACGCCUCCCCUCUGUAAGGUGGCGUUCUCUGAACUCCUCCUUCUAACGCUCUUCCUUUUCCUUCCCGCCUCUCCCCCAUGCAGGAUGCCUUUGUGGAGCUGUAUGGCCCCAGCGUGCGGCCCCUGUACGACUUCUCCUGGCUGUCUCUGAAGACUCUGCUCAGCCUGGCCCUGGUGGGAGCCUGCAUCACCCUGGGUGCCUACCUGGGCCACAAGUGAAGUCUGCAGGCCUGCCCCAAACAAAUAUGCAAAAGGUUCACUAAAGCAGUAGACAUGAUAUGCAUCAUCAGUGAUGCAUCAUGAAGUUACGGUAUCUUUAAAGGAAAGCAAAUACAACACACACACACACGCGCGUGCACACACACACACACACAGCUUUCAGGCAAAACGUCGAAUCAGCUAUUUACUGCCAAAGGGAAAUAUCAUUUAUUUUUUACAUUAUUAAGAAAAAAGAUUUAUUUAUUUAAGACAGUCCCAUCAAAACUCCCAUCUUUGGAAACCCGACAACUAAUUGCCAAGGAUCACUUCCUGCGGUUCCACCUGUUGGUGUGCCCCAAAACCAGAGUGAUUUUCCACGUUGAGUGGACUAGCCCGUCAUGUGAACAGCAAACGGAUGGACAAGGAAACUGACCGCCGAGAAGCCGGGGUUCUGGCUGCUGGAGGUUGGGCCGAAGGCAUUCCUUCGACUUGCAUUUAUGGGUCCUGGGGGCUGUGACAUUACAGAGGCAGGGUGCUUCGAGGGAAGUCCAUUUGUCCCUGGCCUAAAGAACAGACACUUUGCAUGUGACUCACAUGGUACAUAGCCAGUCAGAGGACAGAAACUGGGAACUUGAGAUAGAUGUGGUGCCCGCGGAGACUUCCCCGCCGAAGGACAGUGGUGAGAAAAAUGCCCUUAAACCAUAGGAAAGUAUUUUUUUAAGCUACCAAUUGUGCCGAGAAGCAUUUUAGCAGUUUAUACAAGAUCAUCCAGUACCUUAAGCCCUGAUUGUGUCUAUUCAUAUAUUUUGGAUACACGCCCCCUCUACAUCCUGGCUCUGUCUGAGCAGGAACCAGAAUCCUCUGCAUUCAAGGAGGUGGAUGUUUCGGUGACUUCUUGGGCAUCAGGAAGGCGGCAGUCACCCAGAGCAUCAGGCAGCCACAAGUGCCUGCGUUUAAGAGACUGACUCCUGCAGAACCUCCCUGUGUCCCCGCCUGGAGGCCAAAGGCUGAGCUUGGGCACUUGCUGGUCUCCUCGGAGGUGUUCAGCAGAGCAGCGUGGCCUCCCCGUGUGGGAGCUGACGGAGCUGUCAAGAAAGAGCAAUAGUGGGACUAGCCAGGCCUCACGCCCUCCCAGUUGGUCCCUUUCCACCUGGGGCGUGGAAGGGGGAUCCCGGGAGCCACGCCCCUUCUGAAGACAUUGGUCCCCGAGGAAGGAAGGAAACGGCCCUGUGCCUUUCCUAGCAGAGGGACAUGCUGAGGGCUGGGGCCGCAGCCCCCACAGGUGUGAGGGAAGGAGAAGGCUGAGGCCCUUUAGGCUGCUGCACAGGGCGUGGUGGCCCCAGCUUGUCUGGGUAGUUUAAAGCAAGGCUUUCAAUGACUUUGGGGAGGGUCGUAAGUCCUAAAGGAAGAGAGGUAAAAUGAGUUGAAAAGAGGUGCCAUGGGUUAAUUGCUCUAUGUCUAUGGAUUUACAUGUAAAACAUUAUCUUGUCAUUGUCGAUUGGUUUUAUUUGAAAACCUUAUGGGUGGUGGGGGUGGGGUGGGGGAAGCUCCAGGUGUAGAAUGUGGGAAUUAUCUGCACAUCCUGGGGCAUUAAAAUAAAUGAAGAAAAAAAAAAAAAGGUGGUAAACUAUAGAGAACUAGCAAAAGAAGUGAGAUCUCUGGAUAAUAAACUAGAAAAUAUUUUUUUUCCAAGUUUAGAAUCAGCCAGGAGGCACUGGUGGAAUAACUUUGUGGCAUUAUCACUUAUAUACCAUUUAUCUGUGUUAACUAUGGAAUGUACUAUUCAAUGUUUAAUGCUGUGGUCGAUAUUUCGAAAGCUGCUUUUUAAGAAAAUACAUGCAUCUCAGCAUUUUUUAAAACUCCUAUUUAGUUAUCGCCUCUACACUCUUUUAACAAAAGUGAUGAUUUUCCAUAUGAGAUUUCUUUUAUUUUUUUUUUUUUUGUCUUUUGAUUCUUCAGAAGCAUUUGUGAAGAGGUGGGCUAAGCCUGAGUCUCGGCUACAUAAGAAGCCCUGGAUGUCACUGGCACCGAGGAGCUUGGUGUUCACCAAGUCAUGUGCAUUUCUGUGCAUUCCUGGUGGAUAAGUCUGUUGUGCUUUGACCUUGUCUCUUGAAGGUCGACUUGCUCCUGGGCAAUUCGGCAUCUGGACGCAUGUUACCUAAGAUCACAGGCGUGUUUGGUUAAACCUGAGAGCUUCAUUCAUUUGAAAACCCAGAUGGGAAAUGAGCAAAGGAUGAGAAUCUGGCUGCGACGGUUUGACCUUUAGAGAGCUGCUUUAUGUGUCCUGUUUCCAUGCAGACCUACCCAAAGCCCUCCCGCUCUCCUUCCACAGGGCCCUUCUCUGUGGCUGUCCUUCAGGCCCUUCCUGAAACCCAGUGGCGCUCACACUUCACCCAGAAAGCAAGAGCCCUGUGGUGUGGAGCCACACCUCCCUGGUGGGCCUCAGGGAACAAGAGGACCAGACCUUUGAAUGAUCCUGAUUCUUAAGUGAAAUAUUAUUUUAUGAAAGGUUUACAUUCUCCAGGUGAUGAAUAUGGAAAAUCAAACCCUGUGCUGCUAUCCUGCCAAGAGCAUCUUAAUGGAGUCUGUUUCCAGCUCACUCCAAGUGGCGAGACCCUCUGAGCUGCUUUAGAAGUAACAAUGAAGAACGUGGAUAUUUUUAAUAUAAAACCUGUUUGUCUUUUGUUGUUGUUGUUAUUGUUCAAACUGGGAUUUGCAGAGUAUUUGAAAAAAUGUAUAUAUAUAUAUAUAUAUAUUAAAAAAAAGGUCACAGCGGCCUAACGUUGGUUUUCUUUGGCUCUGGGGUUUUGUCAUCUGGUUUUAAAGGUAAACAUACGCAGUCACCUGACCCCAGAACUGUACAAGUAUUGCAGCUAAACUCAAUAUAAGAAUAGUUCGUUUUGCAUUUUUUCUUGUUGUUAAAAACAUGUUAGAAAGCAAUGAAUGUAUAUGAAAGCCUCAUCUAGUCAUUUCUUUCUUUCUUUUUUGUCUCAAAUUAUUUUGCAAACGGACAACAGAGACUGGUUCUGAUACCCUUCGUGUUGAGAAGGGAUUCACACCUCGAUCUGAGCCCCCCUUUCUGCAUGAGAAGGAAUGUGCUCUAAGUUGCCCAGGGUGAACAUAAAGUAGAACACACACACUUCCCAAAUUGGGAUCCAAGACUCUAAAAAGGAACCCACCAGAAGAAGGUCCCAGAACCUUCCAGGGCUCCCGAAGCCUUCCUGCAUGGGCACUGUUUCUGAAAGAGAGACCCAAAGGACUGCUCGUAUAUGCUGUAGCCAGCAGUUCACCUGGAAGAUUCUGCAGGAGCUGACAUUUCUGUAGGCUUAAGAAUCGGAUUAAAACCACAUUUUAGAAAUAAGGAAGUCCCUUUAUAUGUUUGAGCAAAACACCAACAUCCUCUGCCCCGCUCACCUGUCUCUGCAUGCUCAGGUGUGGCCGGCCUUCCUUCAUAUGUGACUUUUAGGUAAAUGCUUAUUGCUUACCAUCUAAAGGCCUGGCUCUGGCCCAGUGGGAACAUUAAAGAAAGUGCUUAUAAAUCAAGAGGAGUUAAUAACAAUCAAGAUUAAAUGUAAAUAAUUAUGGCAAUCCCAACACAGGUCUAGCUUUCACAUCAAGUAUACCAGAUGGAAAAAAGGGCAAGGAGUCUACACUUAGGAUUCAACUUGUACUAAAAUAAUUUAUUAAUGUGACCUUCAACUCUAAUUCCAAUUGUACUUUGAAGGUAGUGGCUGUUUUUAUACUUUCUUAUCACUUAGAGUUAGUAAUGUACACCUACUCUAUCAGGAAAAAACAGGAAGGGCUUGAAAUACAAGCCAGUCUAAGGAAAUUAGGGAGUCAGUUGAAAUUCUAUCUGAUCUUACUCUGUGGUGUCUGUUGCAGUCCAGACAAAUGUGGUUGCACACUUUUUUAAGAAAUACAGUUCUACAUUGUCAGGCUUUUGAAGGUUCCAGUCAGAUCUGUAUUGUUAUUCAAUUUGGAUCUUUCAGGGAUUUUUUUUUUAAUUAUUAUUAUUACAAGACAAAGAACAUUUGUUAUGAGGGUGGGAGGGAAGAAGAAUUUUUAAAUGUGCAUAACAUUCCCAAGCUUGGACCAGGGAGUCGAGUUUUUCAGAAUAGCCAGAACUGUGGCGUAUGAGGCACUUUUACUGGGGUCGGUUGACGCCUCUGCAAAGGCCCUUAAUGCAGCAAAUGAGAAACAGUUUUACAGUUCUGUGGUAUUCAGAUCCCAGAGGCAGUGGCAUGGUUCAAAGUCAGCUCAGCUCAGCAACGCAGGGGUACACAUUUCAAGCUGGAUAUGGCCAACGGGUAUAUAAGCAAUAAAUUUACAGUUUUAACCAACAGGAUAUUUAAUGACAACCUUCUGGUUGGUAGGGACAUCUGUUUCUAAGUGUUUAUUAUGCACAAUGCAGAAAAAAAAAUUUUAAUAAAAUUAAAUAAAACAAUGUGAAACUGAAUUGGGUAAAUGAUCAUCGAAGGCCCUUAGCCUUACCCAAUGUAUGGUUCUAUUCCGUGUCUUUGGACAACCAUGAAAUAUGCAUCUUACUGGACACCCAGAAAACCAGAUGGAGUACAAAUGGUAUUAUAUAAUUCAUCAGGAUGGUACCGGUUCAUCAGGACUGUCCCAGAAAAUAACUUAAAGCCAAAGUUCUGUGGAUGACAAGGUUGUUCUGAGUUCCAAGCUCAGCAUGGAAGAUGGGAACACCCCUAGAAGAUGGAAAGGCUAGUUCAUCAGAAAUCGCGGGACUGUGAACUAAUAUGACUGUAGUGUAGAUGCUCUCUAAGGCCACGCACCUUGCCAUUUGGGAAAUCUGCAGCGGACCCUCCAGCCAGCUCAUUUUAUUAAGUUUUUCUCCUCCAAGAUAGCAUCUGAAGAAUCGACAGCUGAUUAAAUUUAUUUGGGGGAAGCUUCUUUUUUUCCCGGUGGUUGUGUUUAUUUUAAUAUCUUAGUUUUCAACCAAGUUGUACUUUUGUUUGGAAUUACGGGGGUUAUUUUUGUUUUAAGUAAUAUAAGUAUGCAAUAAGUUUUUUUGUAUCAAAAGCUUUUGUUAUCAAGAUUUUCAUACUGUUACCUUUCAUGGGCUGCUUUUCAGAUGGAUAUAUUUUAGGGGUAGCUGAUAUCUGCAACACUGUAUAUACAAAAAAAUAUGAUAAGCCUACUUUGCAUACUUAAGGUUGGCUUCCAUUAAAUAUAAUGGCACUUUGUGUUGUAGGAAAAUGUCACAUUGCUAUUCAACUUUCCUUGUCUGUCCAGUUAAUUUUGUGAAGAAAAAUAAAGUACAGUGUGAGAUAUUGGUUGUGCCCCAAAUUGUUUA
RNAcentral lists this long non-coding RNA (5576 nucleotides) under Marmota monax (woodchuck). Lineage: Eukaryota; Metazoa; Chordata; Mammalia; Rodentia; Sciuridae. The record is from RNAcentral.